AUUGAACGCUGGCGGCAUGCUUUACACAUGCAAGUCGAACGGUAACAGGCCGCAAGGUGCUGACGAGUGGCGAACGGGUGAGUAAUGCAUCGGAACGUGCCCAGUCGUGGGGGAUAACUACUCUAAAGAGUAGCUAAUACCGCAUACGAUCUAUGGAUGAAAGCGGGGGACCGUAAGGCCUCGCGCGAUUGGAGCGGCCGAUGUCAGAUUAGGUAGUUGGUGGGGUAAAGGCUCACCAAGCCAACGAUCUGUAGCUGGUCUGAGAGGACGACCAGCCACACUGGGAGUGAGACACGGCCCAGACGCCUACGGGAGGCAGCAGUGGGGAAUUUUGGACAAUGGGCGCAAGCCUGAUCCAGCAAUGCCGCGUGCAGGAAGAAGGCCUUCGGGUUGUAAACUGCUUUUGUACGGAACGAAACGGCUCUGGUUAAUACCCGGGGCUAAUGACGGUACCGGAAGAAUAAGCACCGGCUAACUACGUG
RNAcentral lists this ribosomal RNA (482 nucleotides) under uncultured bacterium. RNAcentral's name for it is "partial 16S ribosomal RNA". It matches the Rfam family "Bacterial small subunit ribosomal RNA", at positions 30 to 507 of the family's 1533-position model. The record is from RNAcentral.